AUUGAACGCUGGCGGCAGGCCUAACACAUGCAAGUCGAGCGAGCGGCGGACGGGUGAGUAAUGUAUGGGGACUGCCCGAUGGAGGGGGAUAACUACUGGAAACGGUGGCUAAUACCGCAUACUGUCGGAUAACCCAUAUGGGAUUAGCUAGUAGGUGAGGUAAUGGCUUACCUAGGCGAUGAUCUGUAGCGGGUCUGAGAGGAUGAUCCGCCACACUGGGACUGAGACACGGCCCAGACUCCUACGGAGGCAGCAGUGGGGAAUAUUGGACAAUGGGGGGAACCCUGAUCCAGCCAUGCCGCGUGUGUGAAGAAGGCCUUAGGGUUGUAAAGCACUUUAAGCGAGGAGGCGUUACCGGCAGAAGAAGCACCGGCUAACUCCGUGCCAGCAGCCGCGGUAAUUC
This 403-nucleotide ribosomal RNA is filed under the name uncultured bacterium. Its description in RNAcentral is "partial 16S ribosomal RNA". It matches the Rfam family "Bacterial small subunit ribosomal RNA", at positions 30 to 526 of the family's 1533-position model. The record is from RNAcentral.